RNAcentral lists this long non-coding RNA (586 nucleotides) under Phoenix dactylifera (date palm). Its description in RNAcentral is "long non-coding RNA (PDAC_LNC011922)". The record is from RNAcentral. Lineage: Eukaryota; Viridiplantae; Streptophyta; Magnoliopsida; Arecales; Arecaceae.
CGGAGUCGUCCCCAAGGCAGCGGAGUCGUCCCCAUGCAAAAAGUGCAAACAAGCCGAGACGUCCCUGUAAAGCGCCGAGACGACCCUCUCAGAAAAACAGAAAAACAAGGAUUCAAACCAUUCAUCAUCGGAGUCGUCCCCGUAAAGUGCCGAGUCGACCCCAAACAAAGUGAAAAGUAAAUUUAUACAGCCGAGACGUCUCGCGUUGAAGCGGAGACGUCUCCGGAGCGCCUGGGACGCGACUGACAACUUUUGCAGGUUUGGUUUGAAUUUUAAAUCUCUUUUACUUUAUCUCUAACGGCUAUAUUUGCUUUUUGGGCUAUAAAAGGGAGCUCCUAAGUGCUUCUCAACAACUUCUCACCAACCCAAAGCAAGAUCAUUCAAGAGAGAAGAAAGAAAAAGAGGUUCAAGGGAGUUAGUGCAUUCAAGUGAAGAAAUCAAGUGCUUUCAAGUUUCUCAACUGAUUUCAAGCUCAACUACUCUCUUCCGCUCGGCAUUCAAAGCUCACACUCAAGCCUACGCGAUCCACAUCGGAAGAAUCAUCAUUUCCCACACUUCCAACGGCAAAAGGAUUCUUCCGGAUUUU